Molecule: long non-coding RNA, 1686 nt
Organism: Leopardus geoffroyi (Geoffroy's cat)
Lineage: Eukaryota; Metazoa; Chordata; Mammalia; Carnivora; Felidae
Exons: 5
Source: RefSeq, a predicted model, not a curated record
CUGCUACCAGCGGUUCCAACUUAAGCCGGUCGUCUAAUCGCCUUGAAUUUGAGUUUGCGCACCUGUAGCUGCAGAACAGGAGUGGUGCUGACCCCUUCAGGUUGUUCCCGGAGUAAAUGCGCCGCCUCAGGAAAAGUGUUCGCUGGGAGGAAGAAGCGCCAGAAUCCACCCAAGGGAGCGGCGCAGGGAGCGGGGAAGAAGCAGAUGAGCAAGGAAAGGGGGGAUCAGAUUUUUGCAGAGGGAGUGACUUUUUGCUUGGCUGAAGAAAGGCAAGGAAGAGGUCCCUGUCACAAGGUGCUUGACGGUGGGAAAAGCAUGCGAGCCUGGAGAACAGCCCGUCUAAGGGCCAGGAGGUGGAAAGGGCUUGUUUGGGGAUUCCACCCCCCCCCCCCCCCACCUCCGGCGCUGGCACAACCUGAGGUCCUGCCAGGCCUCCGCCAUCAGUCACCCACUACCAGCCAGGCCUGGGCGGGCUGAGUCUGCGACCCUGGUGGGCAGGUGACACUGACCACCCCUUCCUCCGGACUCAAUCAGAACACAGCCGGUCGCAUCCAAGAGGUGCCAAGUGGGCACCCGGCGCCUGCCCAGGUUCUGCAAGAGCGUGGGCCUCGUGGAGGCAGGGAGGAAGCACGUGUGUGUCUCAGUACAGGGACUCGCUCGGAAAAGUCUUUGAGAACUGGUGACACACGUAUUUGAAAGAUGGAGACACUUUAUUUAGUGGAAUAUUUGUACCUCCUCCCCCCGCCCCGCCCAACUCCUGCGAUCUACUAUCCGUAAGUAUACAGUGAAAAGCCUUCAUCCCAGAAGAACAUCAGACAAGUCUCCUAACUGAGGAACCAUCUAUAAAGUAUCUGACCAGUUCUCAAAACUGUCAAGGCCACCAAAAAGAAGGCAAGACUGAGAAACUGCCGCAGCCAGGAGGAGCCUAAGGAGACAUGACCAUUAAAUGUGAUGUGGGAGCCUGCAUGGGAUCCUGGAACAGAAAAAGGACAUUUGGGGAAAACUAAGGAAACCUGUGAGGCAAGAUGGACUUCAGGCAAUAAUAUAUCAAUGCUGGUUCAUUAACUGUAACCAAAGUACCACACUAACCCUGGAAAGACCCUCAUUCCUGUGGCCAGUUCCCUGUUCAUGGACUUGGGCUCUGCGAUGUCUUGCAGUCCUAACACGACUUGAGGACAAAACCGAGGGCAUAACCCUGGCAAACAGUGGACUUCGAAUCUCUACCUCGCUGUCCUUGAAGUUGGCCCGCCAGCAAACUGCCUGAGUUUUUGAAGCACUUCAAACUUCCAACCGUCAGUGCAUGCCCCCAAAGCCCUUCUGCACGCCGGUCGUCGGCUGGAGUUCAUUCUUAAUUUACGUUUUUUUAAGGUUUUGUGUGGACGUGUUUCCGAAUCUCCCGGGCACAUGCCUACGAAUGGAACUGCCGGAUCACACAGCUACCCUACACUUACCCCUCCGAGAAGCUGCCAGACUGUCUCCCAAAGUACACCGUGUUACAUCCCCUCUAGCACUGUUCCAAUUGUUCUCUGACCCUCGUCAGCACGUGUUAUUAUUGUCUAAUUACGGUCAUGCUAGUGGGUGUGAAAUAGUAUCUCACUGUGUUUUUGUAUUUAAAAAAUGUUUUCCUCAUGUGGUUUUGGUUUGUAUUUCCCUGAUGACUAAUGAAGUUAAACAGCUUUUCAUGUG